Small nucleolar RNA from Jaculus jaculus (lesser Egyptian jerboa), 135 nucleotides. RefSeq annotates it as small nucleolar RNA SNORA70. The transcript has a single exon. The record is from RefSeq and is a predicted model, not a curated record. Lineage: Eukaryota; Metazoa; Chordata; Mammalia; Rodentia; Dipodidae.
CUCCAGGACAAUAAGAUACAUGGUUACACUCCCUCAUGGGCUCCUGCUGAGCAAUGUCUGCAGACAGCUGCUUCCUCGGGAGUGUACGUAACCUGCUGUUUGUACAGGUGGCCCUAAGCAACCUUGGAGAGUUUU